Molecule: ribosomal RNA, 476 nt
Filed under: uncultured cyanobacterium
Lineage: Bacteria; Bacillati; Cyanobacteriota
Description: bacterial SSU rRNA
Rfam family: Bacterial small subunit ribosomal RNA
Source: RNAcentral
GGAUGAAGGCCUCUGGGCUGUAAACCUCUUUUAUCAAGGAAGAAGAUCUGACGGUACUUGAUGAAUAAGCCACGGCUAAUUCCGUGCCAGCAGCCGCGGUAAUACGGGAGUGGCAAGCGUUAUCCGGAAUUAUUGGGCGUAAAGCGUCCGCAGGCGGUCUUGUAAGUCUGUCGUUAAAGCGUGGAGCUUAACUCCAUUUCGGCGGUGGAAACUACAAGACUAGAGUGUGGUAGGGGCAGAGGGAAUUCCCGGUGUAGCGGUGAAAUGCGUAGAUAUCGGGAAGAACACCAGUGGCGAAGGCGCUCUGCUGGGCCAUAACUGACGCUCAUGGACGAAAGCCAGGGGAGCGAAAGGGAUUAGAUACCCCUGUAGUCCUGGCCGUAAACGAUGAACACUAGGUGUCGGGGGAAUCGACCCCCUCGGUGUCGUAGCCAACGCGUUAAGUGUUCCGCCUGGGGAGUACGCACGCAAGUGUG